UGCCAGCCGCCGCGGUAACACGGGGGGCGCAAGCGUUAUUCGGAAUUAUUGGGCGUAAAGGGCGCGCAGGCGGUCUUGUCCGUCAGGUGUGAAAGCUCGGGGCUCAACCCCGGAAGUGCACUUGAAACAGCAAGACUUGAAUACGGUAGAGGAGAGAGGAAUUCCUGGUGUAGAGGUGAAAUUCGUAGAUAUCAGGAGGAACACCGAUGGCGAAGGCAUCUCUCUGGGCCGAUAUUGACGCUGAGGCGCGAAGGCGUGGGUAGCGAACGGGAUUAGAUA
RNAcentral lists this ribosomal RNA (279 nucleotides) under uncultured bacterium. RNAcentral describes it as "partial 16S ribosomal RNA". It matches the Rfam family "Bacterial small subunit ribosomal RNA", at positions 506 to 784 of the family's 1533-position model. The record is from RNAcentral.